AGGAUGAACGCUGGCGGCGUGCCUAACACAUGCAAGUCGAACGUCCUGUCUCGCAAGAGGCAGGGAGUGGCGGACGGGUGAGUACCACGUGGGUUAUCUACCGUGAGGUGAGGAAUACCGGCGAGAAAUCGCCGACAAGACCGCAUAGCCUCGGUGCAAGCCGAGGAAAGCUUUCUCGAGAGAGGGAGCGCCACACGAGGAGCCUGCGCCCGAUUAGCUAGCUGGUGGAGUAACGGUUCACCAGGGCGACGAUCGGUAGCUGGUCUGAGAGGACGAUCAGCCACACUGGGAUUGAGAACGGCCCAGACUCCUACGGGGGGCAGCAGUGAGGAAUUUUCGUCAAUGGGGGCAACCCUGAACGAGCAACGCCGCGUGCAGGAAGAAGGUUUUCGGAUCGUAAACUGCUUUUCGUCGGGGAAGAGAACGGACGGUACCCGAGGAACUCGAGCCCCGGCUAACUACGCGCCAGCAGCCGCGGUAA
RNAcentral lists this ribosomal RNA (481 nucleotides) under uncultured bacterium. Its description in RNAcentral is "SSU rRNA". It matches the Rfam family "Bacterial small subunit ribosomal RNA", at positions 26 to 523 of the family's 1533-position model. The record is from RNAcentral.